RNAcentral lists this ribosomal RNA (459 nucleotides) under uncultured bacterium. RNAcentral's name for it is "SSU rRNA". It matches the Rfam family "Bacterial small subunit ribosomal RNA", at positions 26 to 518 of the family's 1533-position model. The record is from RNAcentral.
AGAAUCAACGCUGGCGGCGUGCCUAACACAUGCAAGUCGAACGAGAAAGUGGAGCAAUCCAUGAGUAAAGUGGCGACCGGGUGAGUAACACGUGACUAACCUACCUUCGAGUGGGGGAUAACAUCGGGAAACCGAUGCUAAUACCGCAUAACAUCGCAAGAUCAAAGCAGCAAUGCGCUUGAAGAGGGGGUCGCGGCUGAUUAGCUAGUUGGCGGGGUAACGGCCCACCAAGGCGAAGAUCGGUAUCCGGCCUGAGAGGGCGCACGGACACACUGGAACUGAAACACGGUCCAGACUCCUACGGGAGGCAGCAGUGGGGAAUUUUGCGCAAUGGGGGAAACCCUGACGCAGCAACGCCGCGUGGAGGAUGAAGUCCCUUGGGACGUAAACUCCUUUCGACCGGGACGAUAAUGACGGUACCGGUGGAAGAGCCCCGGCUAACUUCGCGCCAGCAGCCGC